Molecule: long non-coding RNA, 471 nt
Organism: Drosophila mojavensis
Lineage: Eukaryota; Metazoa; Arthropoda; Insecta; Diptera; Drosophilidae
Exons: 2
Source: RefSeq, a predicted model, not a curated record
UUGUUCUUACAUAAAACGCCAUUGGAAGACCAAAUUGCCAUCUGCCUGAGAUUAUAUAAGCAGAUAAUUAAAUAAAAGCAUUUAUUUCUAUUCAUUAUAUAACCAUUUCGAAUGCAGUCAGACACACUCAAGAAUAUCGCUAUACGAGUAUAAGCUCAACCUAAUUUGAUAUUCUACAUAGUUGAAGAAGACUAAAUCUCAAACAUGAAGCUCGCACUGAUUCUUGUGGCCGCUUUAGCAGUCGCUUCACGACCACCUCAUCCGUGGCAAGUCCCUGGCAGCGGUUAGGUCAGCACGGACUCAUUCCCAAAAGUUUUCCGAUAAUAAAAGGGUCAAGUACAGAGAUGUCAUUGGUCGAACACACCUUCUAUAUUAGCUACAUCAGUUAGGAUGAAUUGAUGUGUAUCUCAAAAUAAAAAAAAUAAAAAAAUAAAAUAAAAGAUUGAGUAUUUGCAGUUUUGAUACAGAGAA